This 253-nucleotide ribosomal RNA is filed under the name uncultured bacterium. Its description in RNAcentral is "partial 16S ribosomal RNA". It matches the Rfam family "Bacterial small subunit ribosomal RNA", at positions 524 to 776 of the family's 1533-position model. The record is from RNAcentral.
UACGAAGGGUGCAAGCGUUACUCGGAAUUACUGGGCGUAAAGGGUGCGUAGGUGGUUUGUUAAGUCUGCUGUGAAAUCCCCGGGCUCAACCUGGGAAUGGCAGUGGAUACUGGCAAGCUAGAGUGCGGUAGAGGGUAGUGGAAUUCCCGGUGUAGCAGUGAAAUGCGUAGAUAUCGGGAGGAACACCUGUGGCGAAGGCGGCUUUCUGGGCCUUACCUGACGCUGAGACGCGAAAGCGUGGGGAGCGAGCCGG